GGUUCAUAAGUCAUAGAAAUAAGAGGGGACCUCAUCUCUUUGAAUCUAAAAAUGUUCUAAGAUAGGAAACCUUGGACAACGUUCUUCGAUGACCUCGAAGCUCAUCGGAGUACUCGAGCUAAUUUUUUUUACUCACACGCAAAGAAUCUACGGCUCAUGGCCAUUCGAGUUAACACAGAAAAAUGACUACGAACAAUUGUUUUGGUUUCAAUGGCACUGUUGUUUGAUGGACGUGUGCGCAUCAAAAAGGCUGAAAAUCUACGGGGUUGUAGUUUUGAGCAAAUAAACAACUUCUAUUUUUUAUCUUUUUCUUCUUUUUUUUUUUCUUAAUUUUCUGGUCGUGUUCGAAGUGUGGGAAACGAUGGUGUUCUUACGGGGAUGGGCAGCUGAUAUUCGACAGGUUUUAAGGAGGUAUUAUAGGGUGUUUGACCGUGGUAUAGGUGGUUUAUGUUACUGCCAUGGCUAUGGAGCUUUGGUGGUGUGGUGGCAAUGGAGUUUCGAAGGGGUGGCACGUCGAUGGUUCAUAGAGACAGAGGUGUGCGGCGACAGGAGGGUUGUCAUUGUUAGGGGUCAAGAAGAAGAUGGAAGGGUGUUAUUUUGGUGAGGGUGACGGCUGAGCAUGGGGUUAGGUCUAGUCAUCUUUUUUUCGUUAAGAAGAAGACGAG
RNAcentral lists this long non-coding RNA (665 nucleotides) under Nicotiana benthamiana. Its description in RNAcentral is "long non-coding RNA (NBEN_LNC025738)". The record is from RNAcentral. Lineage: Eukaryota; Viridiplantae; Streptophyta; Magnoliopsida; Solanales; Solanaceae.